This 549-nucleotide long non-coding RNA is filed under the name Homo sapiens (human). RNAcentral's name for it is "HSALNT0391259". The record is from RNAcentral. Lineage: Eukaryota; Metazoa; Chordata; Mammalia; Primates; Hominidae.
AAAACCCACGAGGGGACGCGGUGGAGGAGGGUUGCUGUCCACCCGGGGGCGUGGGAGUGAGGUACUGGAUUCAGCCCAUUUGGCCCCGAAGCCUCUGUUCUCGGAAUCCGGGUGCUGUGGGUUGAGGUCCCGGUUCCUAACGGUGGGACUGGUGUCCUCGAGAUGAAAUUUGGGGUUUCCUCGGGGCUUUGGUGGGAUCGGUGUCCUCAGGAUGAGAUUUAGGGUUUCCUUGGGGCUUUGGGGAUCUUCACCUAAUAUCUGCGAUUAUUUUAUGAGAGGAGUGGUCUUGGCUGUCAGAACUGGAUCCCUGGGGUGAUAUUUGGGAGUUACUGGAGUGAUCUCUGAAGACCUAGGGCUAUGAGCUGGAGCUGCUGGGGCUGAAAUUUGGGGCCUUUGAAGUGGCAUGGAGAUUGAGGUCCAGAGAGCCUGAGAUCUUGAGGGCUGACAUUUGGAGAGAUGGGGUCGAGGGUUGUCUUUGGGCCUUGACUGCUUUGGGCCUUUCUCACUCUCAUUCCCGGGAUGCUUUGCCAGAAUCUCUGCUGGAUUGGC